RNA transcript from Lycium barbarum (goji berry), 3846 nucleotides. RefSeq lists it as uncharacterized. The transcript has 11 exons. The record is from RefSeq and is a predicted model, not a curated record. NCBI's taxonomy places the organism in Eukaryota, Viridiplantae, Streptophyta, Magnoliopsida, Solanales, Solanaceae.
CCCUUUGGCUUAGCAAGUUGCUGAAAACAGCUUAUAAGCUUUUUCAGCUUUUUGAAUGUUUGCAGCUUUUUGCAUGUUUGGCUAGCCAAUUUAUAAGUCAUUUUGUGUUUAAAAUAAGCCUACAAAAAUAAGUUGAGAUAGCCCAACUUUUUUUUUUUUUUGACUUAUAAAUAAGUUGUUUUCAGCUUAUAAACUGCUUUUUUUAAGCUAAGCCAAACAGACCCUUAAUUCCCAAAACCCAGAAAUUCCAUUGAAAAUCUUCCUCACGUGUUCAAGAUUCUCCUAUGUUUCCUAGAAUUUCAUCUCAUUUUAUAAGUGGUUUUUUGUAUUAUUGUAAAGUUAUACAGUUGGCAGACACAUGGCACCAAGAUUAAACAUCGAUCAAAUAACAACCGACACGCCAGAUUGGACUUCCAAAGUUCAAAUCGUGGACAUGAGUCGUGAGCGAGAAAGUCCUGAGAAGAAAAUCAGAUUCCAAAAUUUAAUUUUGUAAGAUGAAGAGAAAAGCUUCAAAUCUCGGAGACACAUCUGAUUUCCACCACAAGAGUUCGAGUUUCGCCACUUUAUACGGCAAACCAAUACACAAGUUUUAUUAGGUACUUGGCAAAGAAAAUAUAGUUGAACAUGUCAAGCCAACUAACGAGCAUGAGAUCAACUAAGCUGAAUAUCACAACUUUUGACCGCAUCGCUCAUAUGACUCCUCAUUCUUCUGUAGAAGUUGCAUACAUACUAGGAGUCGUUCUACGUUAUGGCCCUCCAAAAUAUGUAGGUCGCAAUCAAAACGGGUGCCGAGAGAUUAUUGUUGUUGGCAAUCAGAAAAAAACAAUUUCUACUCACUUUAUGGGAGGACUUCGGAGAAAUUGAAGGAACUGUGCUCCAAGCAAAAAUGGGAAAGGAUGAAGAGUUCCCUGUAAUCCUUGGAAGGAGUAUAGGAAUAUCUUCUUAUCAGGGUGACGGUGACUUUUGCUCAAUGCGGAGGACUGUCAAACAUAGACUGAGGGAUGUAGAUGAUCUGAAGAGAAAUAGAUAGUGAGAAAACAAGACCAUUUUAAAAUCUCUUACUAACCUUUCUUCCCAUAUAAAAGAAAGGCUUUGUGCAAGUAACUACUCUGUCAAAACAAACAAAAUCAGCCUGUUAAGAUAUUCUUGAUUUUCUGGAGCUUGAAUGAGCUUGAUUACACCUACAAGUACAUUCAUUGUCUUUGUUCCCAGUGACGUAUCAGGUUCUUCAAAUUCUUGUAUUUUCUCAUCUUCUUCUGUUGCAUUUUUGUGCUUCAUCUUGUAUAUGUAUUACUCAUGCAUCAUAUUUUUCUGUUUGAUUUUUUAGCUUCAUUCUGCUUUGUUUAUUUUGACAGAGCAUAGGCCAUUAAUUUAUUUUAACAGGGAUUUUGUGAGAUCUCCUUUUCACUAUAUAUGGCGAUAUUGACAUUCAACGUCUGUUGUUGUGACUUGAGAGGAUUGUGGUUUUGUUUUUUCUUUUUUUAUUAUUAUUGAUUUCUUCUGAAUAUUUUGUUAUAUUUAUUUUCUCUCUUACUCCUCCCCAUGGGUAUUCUCAUAUUUUUUUUUUUUUGGAUGUUUAUUUGUCUUGCUUGCAUGCAUCUUAAUGGUGUUGGUCAAAAGCAAAAAAGAAAAAGCUUCACAUAAGCAUUAAGCAUCAAUGUUGUAAAUUCACAUCGCUUUUGUUGCACAUUUUUGGCUGUGAGAAAAAGACAAAUCUUUUUGUGGUCUAAAUCUUAUCUGUUCUAGUUUUUGACAGUGGAACGAUUUCUCUGUCUCAUAAAUUGGUUUUCUUUGUUAACUUUUAUUCUCAUACAGUUGAUAAAGGAAUAUAAGAAAAGGACAGAUUAAGGAAAAAAUAAUGAUCCUAGGUCAUUAAUACAUUGGUUCAUGUGAGUUGUUCUGUUUGUUCUCACUAGCUUUGAUUACUCAACUGUUUUGGCUUGUUGAAAAAAAUGUCAUCUUUCAUAGUUGGAACAGGAAAUGCUACUUCAUGUUAGAAAAUAGGUAUAUAUAUAAUUGAUGAAGAAAUGGCUUGGACACAUGGAUAAAUCGACUUUGCUCAAAAAGAGCAUAGGCCAUCCGUUUAUUUGCUUGCCUCCUCCUUCCAUUCUCAAAAUGGAAGUCGAUCCCGACAAGCACCCAUCUUUUCGCAUGCAUCUAUUUAAAGAAGGUUUUACGGAAAAAAUAGUUAUGCCGUCUCAUUUUGUGAAAAAACACAAGAAAAUGUUGGCUAAAACCUGCAUACUGAAAACUGAUGUAGCUGGAAUUUCAUGGAAAGUAAAAAUAGAGAGAGAAAAGCCCAAUUACUUCAUAUGUGAAGGAGACUGGGCACAGUUUGUGGUGCAUCACCAACUGAAGCAUGGGGACGUUUUGCUCUUUUUCCUCAUUGAGAAAUCAACGUUCCAUGUCCUGCUCUACUCCCAGAAGCAACGUGGAAACCUUGGUGGGGGGCAACUUUUUGAGGAACUCAGUUCUUCCUCUGAAGAGGAAGGGCAUGAGGAGGAGGAGAAUGAGGAUGAGAACAUCGAAGUUUCAAGAAAAUUGAAGAAAGUCAAAAUGAAGCGAGGAGAAUCAUCUGGUAAGUCAAAAUGGAGCCAAGAGCCAAUAGAUAUAUCAGAUUUUGAGGAAGAAUGCGUUAAUCCAUCCCGUAGCUCCAAAGAUGGGGGAAAUCCAUGCUUUUCACGACCAGAAGUUAAAUCCGAUGCCAAAGCUGAUAACAUGCUCGGCUUGAAGAAGAAAGCUCCCAAGACUGAAGAAGCGAAGAAGGUGGCCAAUGAUCCUGACAAACCAAAGAGGCCUACAAGUGCUUUCUACGUUAAGCGAGGACGGAGGUCUGCCAAGUAUCCUGACAAACCCAAGAGGCCUUCAGGGGCUUUCUUUUUUUUCUUGAAGGAGUUCAGGAAGCAGUUCAAGAAGGAGAAUCCAAAAAAUAAAUCUGUGGCCGCUGUCGGUAUAGCUGGUGGAAACAAGUGGAAACAGUUGUCAGAUGCUGAAAAAGCUCCUUAUGUGGCAGAGGCAAAGAAAAGGAUGGCGGAAUAUCAUAAGAACAAGGAUACUUAUUAUAACAAGCGAGUAGCUGCUGGAUCUUCCGAAGAAGAGGAAUCUUACAAGUCAAUGUCCGAGGUUGAUGCGGAAGAGGAAGGGGAAGGGGAGGAGGAGGUAGAAAAAGAGGAAGAGAACAAUGAGGCUUCUAGAAAAUUGAAGAAAGUCAAAAUGGAACCAAGAGAAUCAUCAGGCGCAAGGACGUAAUGGACAAAGAGAUGUUUAUAGCAUAUAAAAGAGCAAAAGCUAAUUUCAAGUCUAAGAAUCCGUUCUUUAUAUCUUUUAUGCAUCCUUCCUAUAUCUCCAAAUCGGGCUUUCUGUGCAUAAAGUUGGCAUUUGCUAGGGAAUAUAUCCCGGAAAACUGCAGCAACAUAGUGCUUCGUGUUCCAGGAAGGGGAUCUUGGCCUGUCAAAUACUAUCUGGCAACUGGACAAGCUAAAUUUUGGACUGGCUGGACGGAGUUCGUGCUGGACAAUCAGUUAAAAAUAGGUGAUGUUUGUGUAUUUGAAGUGAUUGAGGGCACUCAGCUCUCUAUAGAUGUCACUAUAUUUCGUGCAGCUGACAACUGAUGGGUCUGAUUGUUAUUAGUUUUCAUUACUGAAAGAUAGUUUAGAACAAAGUUAGUAUUAUGAAGAAAAUCUUGAAGGAAGGCUUCUAAAAUUAGCUCGAUGUGAAAUUAGACGAGCUAUUAUAUUCUAUAGUUCAUCUCUGUCUUUCUGACAAAUUUUCAUUUAAAUUUUCUAAUGCAUAUUUUGUUGCUUUUGAAUCUUAAGUGUCAUUCAAAUCGAAGAAAAAUAGCAAUCA